RNAcentral lists this ribosomal RNA (428 nucleotides) under uncultured bacterium. Its description in RNAcentral is "bacterial SSU rRNA". It matches the Rfam family "Bacterial small subunit ribosomal RNA", at positions 42 to 465 of the family's 1533-position model. The record is from RNAcentral.
UCAGGCCUAACACAUGCAAGUCGAGCGGCAGCGGGAAAGUAGCUUGCUACUUUUGCCGGCGAGCGGCGGACGGGUGAGUAAUGCCUGGGAAAUUGCCCAGUCGAGGGGGAUAACAGUUGGAAACGACUGCUAAUACCGCAUACGCCCUACGGGGGAAAGCAGGGGACCUUCGGGCCUUGCGCGAUUGGAUAUGCCCAGGUGGGAUUAGCUAGUUGGUGAGGUAAUGGCUCACCAAGGCGACGAUCCCUAGCUGGUCUGAGAGGAUGAUCAGCCACACUGGAACUGAGACACGGUCCAGACUCCUACGGGAGGCAGCAGUGGGGAAUAUAGCACAAUGGGGGAAACCCUGAUGCAGCCAAGCCGCGUGUGUGAAGAAGGCCUUCGGGUUGAAAGUAAUUGAGCGAGGAGGAAAGGUUGAUGCCUAAUAC